RNAcentral lists this ribosomal RNA (164 nucleotides) under uncultured bacterium. RNAcentral's name for it is "partial 16S rRNA". It matches the Rfam family "Bacterial small subunit ribosomal RNA", at positions 355 to 511 of the family's 1533-position model. The record is from RNAcentral.
UAGGGAAUCUUCCACAAUGGACGCAAGUCUGAUGGAGCAACGCCGCGUGAGUGAAGAAGGUCUUCGGAUCGUAAAACUCUGUUGUUAGAGAAGAACACGAGUGAGAGUAACUGUUCAUUCUAUGACGGUAUCUAACCAGCAAGUCACGGCUAACUACGUGUCAG